UACAUAGGCCCCGAGCGUUAUCCGGAAUCACUGGGCGUAAAGAGUGCGUAGGCGGAGGGACAAGUCAGAUGUGAAAGAUACGGGCUCAACCCGUCAUUAGCAUCCGAAACUGUCCCCCUAGAAUUGGGGAGAGGUAAGCAGAACUGUAUGAGUAGGGGUGCAAUCCGUUGAUACAUACAAGAAUACCAAAAGCGAAGGCAGCUUACUGGAACCAUAUUGACGCUGAGGCACGAAAGCGUGGGGAGCGAAAAGG
Molecule: ribosomal RNA, 253 nt
Filed under: uncultured bacterium
Lineage: Bacteria
Description: partial 16S ribosomal RNA
Rfam family: Bacterial small subunit ribosomal RNA
Source: RNAcentral